GAAAAUCAAGGCUGAGGCGUGAUGACGAGGCACUACGGUGCUGAAGCAACAAAUGCCCUGCUUCCAGGAAAAGCCUCUAAGCAUCAGGUAACAUCAAAUCGUACCCCAAACCGACACAGGUGGUCAGGUAGAGAAUACCAAGGCGCUUGAGAGAACUCGGGUGAAGGAACUAGGCAAAAUGGUGCCGUAACUUCGGGAGAAGGCACGCUGACACGUAGGUGAAGUGAUUUACUCACGGAGCUGAAGUCAGUCGAAGAUACCAGCUGGCUGCAACUGUUUAUUAAAAACACAGCACUGUGCAAACACGAAAGUGGACGUAUACGGUGUGACGCCUGCCCGGUGCCGGAAGGUUAAUUGAUGGGGUCAGCGCAAGCGAAGCUCCUGAUCGAAGCCCCGGUAAACGGCGGCCGUAACUAUAACGGUCCUAAGGUAGCGAAAUUCCUUGUCGGGUAAGUUCCGACCUGCACGAAUGGCGUAAUGAUGGCCAGGCUGUCUCCACCCGAGACUCAGUGAAAUUGAACUCGCUGUGAAGAUGCAGUGUACCCGCGGCAAGACGGAAAGACCCCGUGAACCUUUACUAUAGCUUGACACUGAACAUUGAGCCUUGAUGUGUAGGAUAGGUGGGAGGCUUUGAAGUGUGGACGCCAGUCUGCAUGGAGCCGACCUUGAAAUACCACCCUUUAAUGUUUGAUGUUCUAACGUGGACCCGUAAUCCGGGUUGCGGACAGUGUCUGGUGGGUAGUUUGACUGGGGCGGUCUCCUCCUAAAGAGUAACGGAGGAGCACGAAGGUUGGCUAAUCCUGGUCGGACAUCAGGAGGUUAGUGCAAUGGCAUAAGCCAGCUUGACUGCGAGCGUGACGGCGCGAGCAGGUGCGAAAGCAGGUCAUAGUGAUCCGGUGGUUCUGAAUGGAAGGGCCAUCGCUCAACGGAUAAAAGGUACUCCGGGGAUAACAGGCUGAUACCGCCCAAGAGUUCAUAUCGACGGCGGUGUUUGGCACCUCGAUGUCGGCUCAUCACAUCCUGGGGCUGAAGUAGGUCCCAAGGGUAUGGCUGUUCGCCAUUUAAAGUGGUACGCGAGCUGGGUUUAGAACGUCGUGAGACAGUUCGGUCCCUAUCUGCCGUGGGCGCUGGAGAACUGAGGGGGGCUGCUCCUAGUACGAGAGGACCGGAGUGGACGCAUCACUGGUGUUCGGGUUGUCAUGCCAAUGGCACUGCCCGGUAGCUAAAUGCGGAAGAGAUAAGUGCUGAAAGCAUCUAAGCACGAAACUUGCCCCGAGAUGAGUUCUCCCUGAGACUUUAGGUCUCCUGAAGGAACGUUGAAGACGACGACGUUGAUAGGCCGGGUGUGUAAGCGCAGCGAUGCGUUGAGCUAACCGGUACUAAUGAACCGUGAGGCUUAACCUUACAACGCCGAAG
This 1416-nucleotide ribosomal RNA is filed under the name Salmonella enterica. RNAcentral describes it as "bacterial LSU rRNA". It matches the Rfam family "Bacterial large subunit ribosomal RNA", at positions 1536 to 2925 of the family's 2925-position model. The record is from RNAcentral. Lineage: Bacteria; Pseudomonadati; Pseudomonadota; Gammaproteobacteria; Enterobacterales; Enterobacteriaceae.